UACGAAGGGGACAAGCGUUGUUCGGAAUCAUUGGGCGUAAAGGGCGCGUAGGCGGGUUUGUAAGUCGAUUGUGAAAUCCCUGGGCUUAACCCGGGAAUUGCAGUCGAAACUGCAAGUCUUGAAUGCUCGAGAGGAUGGUGGAAUUCCUGGAGUAGUAGUGAAAUACGUAGAUAUCAGGAGGAACACCGGAGGCGAAGGCGGCCAUCUGGCGAGACAUUGACGCUGAGGCGCGAAAGCGUGGGGAGCAAACAGG
Molecule: ribosomal RNA, 253 nt
Filed under: uncultured bacterium
Lineage: Bacteria
Description: partial 16S ribosomal RNA
Rfam family: Bacterial small subunit ribosomal RNA
Source: RNAcentral